CUUAAUUCCCAUAUGUACCCCAGGAAUAAGUUCUGUGAUUACCUCCAUCCUCUGGUGAGGAAAUUGAAGCACAGAAACUUGCUGAGAUGAAAGGGGUAGUGACCUGCUUACUGGAGGAGGGACUUGAGGAAGGGGACACCAGAUGUAACCAAGAGGGUGAUGGAACCAUGAACCAGAACCCGAAGCUGGAAGGCGUCCUGGUGCUUCUGUAUCUGUGUUACCAGUAUCUUCCCCUGUCUGUUGUGAGCUUUUUCAAGGCCCAUCCUACUCAUUCAGUAAACCCUCAGACUUCAGACUGGAGCAGAACACAGUUAAUCUCCUGGGCCACCGUAGACCUGGCCACUCCCUACAUCUGCACAGCCACAUGUGGCCGCUGAGCACCGGGAAUGUGGCCAUAAGCCUGAGAUAUUGAGAUGUAUUGAGAUGUGCCGUAAGCAUGAAACAGUCACCAGCGUCUGAAGACGUGGUGUGGCAGCGGGAAUGUAGAAUAGCUCAUUCACAGUUCUUAAAUGCUGAUUACAUAUUGAAAUGAUGGUAUUUUGAAUAUAUUGAGUUAAAGGAUAUUUUAAAAUUAAGUCCACUUGUUUUUCAAACUUCUUUUCAGCAUGGCUAUUAGAAAAUUAAAAAUUAAUGUAUGGAAACCCUGACCCACAGCGCCCCCAAUAUGAUUGUAUUCGGAGAUAAGGCCUUGAAAGCAGUGAAUAAGUGAAAAAUGAGGCCAUGUCAGUGGGCCCUCAUCCAAUCCGACUGGUGUCCUUCCUUAUUUAUUUAUUUUUUUUUUUGAGACAGAGUCUCGCUGUGUCACCACGCCGAAGGGCAGCGGCACGAUCUCGGCUCACUGCCACCUCUGCCUCCCAGGUUCAAGUGAUUCUCCUGCCUCAGCCUCCCCAGUAGCUGGGACUACGGGUGCAUCCUUACUUAUAAGAAGAGGAAAUUGGGCACAAAAGGAGAUACCACAAGUGUCGUAGGGGAGAAAGAUCAUGUGAGGACACAGCAAAAAGGCAGCUGGCCGUCACAAGUCCGGAGACCUCAGAAGAAACAAGCCUGCUGACACCUGGAUCUUGGACUUCCAGCCUCCAGGACUGAGAGAAAAUUAGUUUUUGUUGUUUAAGCCAUCCAGUCUGUGGCUUUUUGUUAUGGCAAUGCUAACGAACUAAUACACUAGCCUAUUUCAUGGUAGAACUGGAGAAAGCCUGGUGACAAGAGAACAAUUUCCCCACGGCCAGAAAUCUGGCUUCCUGGGUCCAUCUGUCGGGACCUGAAAGACAGCUAUGAAUGUUUCUCACGUUGCCUCUGCCUCAGAUCAGUGUCUGUUUUCCAGUCCCAUGUCCAUAGUGCAUGCCCCUCUGUCUCCUCUUCUAGUAACAGUCUUUUUUCUUCUCUGACACAUGACGAAGAUUUAAGCAGCAGCAGCAUCAGAGAACUGUGUUUUGAAGAUUUGAGGGAAGGGUUGACCUCAGGAUUUUAUACUAGGUUUGUGUAAACACACAAGAUUCUUUUUCUCUCUGCCCCCAAUUGAAUCAUCACGCCCAUUCAAAUGAAACAUGAAGCCAUAAGUAUUAAAAUAUGCAUGAGAUUUUGAACAUGUUUAUUGGGAAAAAGAAUUUUGUUUUCUAGAAAACUCAUUUCCGUUGGACAGUGGGGGUCACCAAUAGGUUGGAAGGGAGAGUGCUAAGCUAGAUGUCCUCUAGGGUCUUUUUCUAGUUCUAAGAUGAACAAAUCUAUAAUUCCUGGUUCAGAGUUUCACUCACCGUCCAUGGGACCUUUCUCAGGGAUGGAGAGAGAGGAUUCAGAUCAGAUGCAUCCCUGAGUGUGAGCCUCAGCCACGGCUUCAUCUCAACAGACAUUUGCCCUCUAGAAACACAGUUAAGGUCAAUCCCUUUGCCAGGAAGUCAAGAAAUUGCCUUCUCAAUGAGGCCAGUAAAAUCGGCAUAAAAGGCCUCCAGAGACAUCAAGUCUCCCUAGAGAGACUUUCUAAACUUUCUGACCAUGGCAUCUAUGUGCUGGCCUGAACCCAGAAUGCACUGAAGGAAGAAAAAAUACAAAAGACGAUGAUAGACCCAAGGAUUAUCUUCUUGGCAUUCCCUAGAACAGCUGUCUGGCAAAUGUUACACCACGUCUGAGAUUAUUUUAGAAACUUUGUCUUGAAGAAGAACAAGGAGAGAGAAUACCAGACAGAUUUGCCCUCAUUUUUUGUCACAGAAUAAGAAUUUCAAGGACAUUUUUACUUUCAGUGACAUCAUCCUGGCAAUGCUCUUUUCAUUUUUUGAAACUUAAAUCGUGUCACAUCUAAUAAAUUUAUAGCUGUGUGUGGUUACAGCAACGAGUUGGUACCAACGGCUAUUUAGGUCUUCUCCUCCCUCUUCUUGUUUCUUUUCCUCAUCAUCAGGAUAAUUAGACUAUUCUACAGAUGUUUUAAACAAAAGAAUUUCACCAAGUCUCACUAGAAACCUGUCCUAAAUGAAAUUCGUAUCUAGUGGCAAAAUGUCAAAUGAUAUUUGCUUUCCUAAAUUUCUUUUUAAGCCUCAUUUUCUGCCCACAUGUCAUAUUUUCUGUGUUCAAUGAAACAGAUUAUGCCAGAAAUGAGAAAACAAAAUUACAGCAAGACAGUGAUCAUAGUAUAGUAUCAUAAAACUGAGUAUAGGCCUGGGGUCUCUAUCUAUGGGAAUGAACGAGAGCUUGGCUUAGCAUGACCCCCUCACCAUGUUCUUGUUCAUAUCAGAAUUCUAAGCGAAGGGGCUGCUUGUGAACAUGCAUCACUUAUGUUAAUGUAACCUCUGAACUGUGGAUGCUUGUCUCACAGUCACCACCUGAAAAUGCCACCUUAGUCAUUCUGAGUUUGUGUGUCUGUGCGUAUGUCUGUGUGUGUGUGUGUGUGUGAGGUACAGUGAAGGCCUCUGUGGAAUGAGGUUUCCUUUUCAAGAGGUAGCUCUGGCCUGAGAAGCUGAGAAGAGUAUUCAUUACUUGUCAGGGAUGAGGUGGCGUGGGGUUGCAGGGUGAGAUGUGAUGGGAGAAGGAACUAUGGGAUAAGAAAGGAAUGUAUCCAAAGGCCUGAGUUCUAAAUUGGAUUCGAUUUUCUUUUUCCUAGUGAAUCAAUGUAAAAAUGUUGGUUAGAUUCCCAGGCUAGCCCAUAGACGCUUGUUGAUGCAUGAUGUAGGGGAUAUACUACGCAUUUUUUUCUAUUAUUGUUUUUGUUUUGUGUAUGUGGAAGGCUAUGUGUGUGGGGGGGGGACGCACACGCUUGGUUACAUUAGCUUGUGUAUGUAUUGGUUACAUUAUAUGCUAAUUAUGGGGAGUUUUGUGACUAG
Molecule: long non-coding RNA, 3308 nt
Organism: Macaca mulatta (Rhesus monkey)
Lineage: Eukaryota; Metazoa; Chordata; Mammalia; Primates; Cercopithecidae
Source: Ensembl